This 76-nucleotide transfer RNA is filed under the name Pseudomonadota bacterium. Its description in RNAcentral is "tRNA-Val". It matches the Rfam family "tRNA". From Rfam's summary of the family: Transfer RNA (tRNA) molecules are approximately 80 nucleotides in length. Their secondary structure includes four short double-helical elements and three loops (D, anti-codon, and T loops). Lineage: Bacteria; Pseudomonadati; Pseudomonadota. RNAcentral also lists the same sequence under 2 other names. The record is from RNAcentral.
GGGCGGUUAGCUCAGCGGUUAGAGCGCUGCGUUGACAUCGCAGAGGUCACUGGUUCAAGUCCAGUACCGCCCACCA